Long non-coding RNA from Gordionus sp. m RMFG-2023, 1176 nucleotides. RefSeq lists it as uncharacterized. NCBI's taxonomy places the organism in Eukaryota, Metazoa, Nematomorpha, Gordioida, Chordodea, Parachordodidae. The record is from RefSeq and is a predicted model, not a curated record. The transcript is spliced from 4 exons.
UAUUUGUCUAUUUUGAACUUGGCGAUUUCGUGUGGAACCAUAAACACAAAAUGGCCGUGACUAGAGCUAACGCCCGUGAUAUUUAGUAAAAUAUACUAAAGCUAACACCCGUGAUAUUUAGUAAAAUAUACUAAAGCUAACACCAUGAUAAUUAAUAACAUUUUAUCAUGUGACAAUUCAUUUUCAUAUGAUAACCCGCUUAAUUUAAAAAUAUAUUUUAAUGUUUCAAUUUUUUGAAUUAGACAAAAUAUGCCUAUAGAUGUAUAGAACCUCCAUAGUCCAUACAAGCAAUUCAAAUUCGGAAUUAGACAAAAUGAUACAUUUAGGAGCAAUAUUUUCAUCAUGUGAUUCACUUAGUAGCAUUAUUAAUGAGCAGUCAUGCCUAGUUAAUUUAUAUAUUGCAAGGUCUACAUUAAACUCCCAUCCUGAAGAGCUCAUAAAUCUUUUUAAAUAUCAAAAGGUUUAUUAUUCUUAUAAAUGUAUAGAACCUCCAUACAAGCAAUUCAAAUUCACAAAAGAUUGUUCAUUUAUAUAUAGUUACAAUAACCAUUGAUUGUAAAAUAUUUAUAAAAUAUUAAAAUUUUAUUUAUAGAUAUGCUUAUAAAUAGAACCUCCAUACAAGCAAUUCAAAUUCACAAAAGAUUGUUCAUUUAUAUAUAGUUACAAUAACCAUUAAUUAACCUCCAUACAAGCAAUUCAAAUUCACAAAAGAUUGUUCAUUUAUAUAUAGUUACAAUAACCAUUAAUUGUAAAAUAUUUAUAUGUGCCAAUAAAAUAUAAACAAUUUGUAAUAAAUUUUGAAUUUUAUCAUGUUAAUUUAAAAGAAUGUAACCAAUCUGGCCUAAUUUUUUUUAGCUCAAUCAUAGCCCAUUUUUUUCAUACUCUAAUUGUUUUGUCCCAAACUUAAAAUUAAAUAUAAAAAGAACCAAAACAUUUUUUUGCUUAUUUUCUUAAUUUGUUUUAAUAUAAAAAGUUUUAAGCCAUACAACCAAUAAUGAUAUUUACAAUUUUUAUCAGAGACCAAUACCCAAAAAUAAAAUUUUUCUAAGUAUUUUACACAUUUAUAAACUGACAAGAUGGUUCUGCUAAUUUUUCUAUUAUUUUAAUUUACAUAACUUAAUUUUAAAUGAUAAGCAAAUAAAAGAUAAAAUCUAAAAGGUAUAUAUCUUUUUUGUU